CAGGUUGGCCGGGUAAUCGCGCGCCUGGAUGACAGGUGUGAGGAAAGUCCGCGCUCCACAGGGCAUGGUGCUGGCUAACGGCCAGGCGGGGCAACCCGACGGCAAGUGCAACAGAGAAGUGUAUUGCCCGCAAGGGCGAGGGUGAAACGGCGGUGUAAGAGACCACCGGCGUCGGCAGUGAUGUC
This 185-nucleotide RNase P RNA is filed under the name Chloroflexota bacterium. RNAcentral's name for it is "Chloroflexi bacterium (sediment metagenome) partial RNase P RNA component class A". It matches the Rfam family "Bacterial RNase P class A", at positions 1 to 196 of the family's 367-position model. Rfam says of the family: Ribonuclease P (RNase P) is a ubiquitous endoribonuclease, found in archaea, bacteria and eukarya as well as chloroplasts and mitochondria. Its best characterised activity is the generation of mature 5'-ends of tRNAs by cleaving the 5'-leader elements of precursor-tRNAs. The record is from RNAcentral. Lineage: Bacteria; Bacillati; Chloroflexota.